Molecule: ribosomal RNA, 449 nt
Filed under: uncultured bacterium
Lineage: Bacteria
Description: partial 16S ribosomal RNA
Rfam family: Bacterial small subunit ribosomal RNA
Source: RNAcentral
AAUGAACGCUGGCGGCAGGCCUAACACAUGCAAGUCGAACGGAUCCUUCGGGAUUAGUGGCGGACGGGUGAGUAACGCGUGGGAACAUACCCUUUGGUACGGAAUAGCCUCGGGAAACUGGGAGUAAUACCGUAUGUGGUCGAGAGACGAAAGAUUUAUCGCCAAAGGAUUGGCCCGCGUUGGAUUAGGUAGUUGGUGGGGUAAUGGCCUACCAAGCCGACGAUCCAUAGCUGGUUUGAGAGGAUGAUCAGCCACACUGGGACUGAGACACGGCCCAGACUCCUACGGGAGGCAGCAGUGGGGAAUCUUAGACAAUGGGGGAAACCCUGAUCUAGCCAUGCCGUGUGAUCGAUGAAGGCCUUAGGGUUGUAAAGAUCUUUCAGGUGGGAAGAUAAUGACUGUACCAUCAGAAGAAGCCCCGGCUAACUCCGUGCCAGCAGCCGCCGUAA